AGAAGAAAAUAAGAGAAACAUCCAUGUUUGAUUAUCAUUUCCUCUGAUUUCUCCAAUGAAUCAAAGAAGACACCAUAAAUAUUGUAUUUUUGAAAUGAGAAAAUGAACACUUUAAUUUUGUUCAGUGCUGGAUUUAUCUUUCUGUGUACAUCCACGGAUGUGUCAGCUACUAUCAGAUACGUCAACGCGCGAGCAGUUACUUCUACAGAUCACUAUCUGGAUGUUGUACCAAUAGAAGAAAAACUGACCUCUUCUGUAAUGUGUGUAAAUCUAUGUACUACUGAUGCUAGAUGUUUAUCUAUUAACUACCAUAAAAAUAAAACAUGUCAGCUAUUGGACACAUUCUACUGUAAAAAUGAUACAUAUGUACUCCAACCAGAAUCCGGAUUUAAAUAUAUGGAUGUAGAUUUUAAUCGUCAACCUGAUGAGUUGAACCAAUACCAGAAGUCAGUUGGCUGUGUUUCGCAUAACAGGUGUUCUCCUAAAUGUAAAGAUUGUUCUCUUUGGAAUGCUUAUAAGAGCCAAAUAUAUGGUUAUAUAGAUCAGGAAGCGGCAACCAUUGAAGAAAAGACAAUCACAACGAUGGACGGAUGCAAAAGUUAUUGCUAUCUCUUUGAUGUUUGUAGAGCGCUUACUUAUAUUGCUGCCACUGAGCAAUGUACAUUACUAUCAUUAACACGAGACAUGGCAAAUCCCGACUCAUUCAAACUAUCAAAUGACAUUGUAUACAGAGAACGAUGGUGUGUUUAAACGUUUAUUUUUCACAGAUCUUGUUCGGUUUAUUUUCAAAUGAAAAUUCGGGAUUUUGACGUGCAUCAUGAUGCAAAUCGAAACCAGUUUUUAACCAAUUAUUACCAUGUCUAUUCCCCAAAUGUUUGACGCAUAAUAUACCAUACUGAUACCAAUUUCUAUAAAGAAUAAAAAACAAAAACAAAAAAAAACCAAAAAAAAAACAAAAAGGCAUUGGAAUUUUCGAACUUAGAUGCAACCACAUUUGUAGAAAUAUUGUCGUUGCGUCAUUGUUUUAAAAUUUAUAGACAAGGAAUAGAGAAAAAUGAUGGCAUUAUAUUGUAUUAAUUAAUAUCUUUGACAACUUAUUAGAUUCACAUAUGUAGUAUGUACUUAAAUCAACUUAGUGAAUGAAUGACAUAUUGUUAUAUAAAAAAGAGUCAUAAUGUGGUAAACAUUCAAUUCUAGGUUAAUAACAGAUAUCUCAUGGGAAGUUUCUCCAGUAAAUUACCAUUACCAUAUAAGGGUGGGUUUCGACGUCAUUUGGCUCAAUUAACCAAUCUCUCUAAUUAUUUAAUGUGUUCCUUAUUUCAAUUUAAAAAUACUCCUUACAACUCUAUAAAUCUUAAAUUACAAAUUCCACAUCAUUUAUAUCAUAUUUGACCAAUGUCUGUGUGUCGCCUACAGGCCACAAUUCUUAAUCGAUUGUCUUGAAAACUUUUCACACGUAUUCAUUAUGCC
This is a long non-coding RNA of Patella vulgata (common limpet), 1470 nucleotides long. RefSeq lists it as uncharacterized. The record is from RefSeq and is a predicted model, not a curated record. The transcript is spliced from 3 exons. NCBI's taxonomy places the organism in Eukaryota, Metazoa, Mollusca, Gastropoda, Patellidae.